RNAcentral lists this small nuclear RNA (96 nucleotides) under Ursus thibetanus thibetanus. The record is from RNAcentral. Lineage: Eukaryota; Metazoa; Chordata; Mammalia; Carnivora; Ursidae.
GUGCAGCACACAUACUAAAAUUGGAACGAUACAGAGAAGAUGAGCAUGAUCCCUGCGAAGGGUGACAUGCAAAUUCGUGAAGGCUUCCAUAUUUUU